UGGGGAAUAUUGCACAAUGGAGGGAACUCUGAUGCAGCGACGCCGCGUGAACGAAGAAGGCUUUCGAGUCGUAAAGUUCUUUUAUAUGGGAAGAUAAUGACGGUACCAUAAGAAAAAGCCCCGGCUAACUACGUUCCAGCAGCCGCGGUAAUACGUAGGGGGCUAGCGUUGUCCGGAAUCACUGGGCGUAAAGGGUUCGCAGGCGGAAAUGCAAGUCAGGUGUAAAAGGCAGUAGCUUAACUACUGUAAGCAUUUGAAACUGCAUAUCUUGAGAAGAGUAGAGGUAAGUGGAAUUUUUAGUGUAGCGGUGAAAUGCGUAGAUAUUAAAAAGAAUACCGGUGGCGAAGGCGACUUACUGGGCUCAUUCUGACGCUGAGGAACGAAAGCGUGGGUAGCAAACAGG
This 403-nucleotide ribosomal RNA is filed under the name bacterium. Its description in RNAcentral is "partial 16S ribosomal RNA". It matches the Rfam family "Bacterial small subunit ribosomal RNA", at positions 355 to 776 of the family's 1533-position model. The record is from RNAcentral. RNAcentral also lists the same sequence under 1 other name.